Molecule: ribosomal RNA, 837 nt
Filed under: Triticum aestivum (bread wheat)
Lineage: Eukaryota; Viridiplantae; Streptophyta; Magnoliopsida; Poales; Poaceae
Description: partial small subunit ribosomal RNA
Source: RNAcentral
AUGCGUUCUGAAUCAUCGUCUCAUGGGCUGGAUGAGUUCUUAGCCGAGGUUCAUAGCUUGACAACGGUGCAUCACAGAAAUCUAGUUUCUUUGGUUGGUUACUGCUGGGAGAAAGAUCAUUUAGCACUUGUUUAUGAGUACAUGCCUCGAGGCAAUCUUUGCGAUCAUCUGAGAGGAAAACAUGGUGAUGAGACCUUGGACUGGGCAAGACGUGUACGAGUUGUGCUUGAAGCUGCACAAGGCCUGGAUUAUCUGCACAAGGGAUGCAGCCUGCCAAUAAUUCACAGGGAUGUGAAGACCAGCAAUAUUCUGUUAGGUCAAAAUCUGCGGGCGAAAAUAGCUGAUUUUGGACUCUGCAAAACCUAUCUUAGCGAAACACAGACUCACAUAUCAACCAAUGCGGCUGGAUCAGCGGGUUACUUUGACCCAGAGUAUGUCCCUUUGUACUACCACACUGGCAGGCUCACUGAGAGCAGCGACGUUUACAGCUUCGGUGUUGUUCUACUGGAGAUAGCUACUGGCGAGCCUCCGAUACUGCCAGGCCAUGGCCACAUUGUUCAGCGCAUGAAACAGAAGAUGGCCACAGGUAACAUCACCUCAGUCGCCGAUGCAAGGCUUGGUGGUGCCUACGAGGUUACCUCCAUGUGGAAACUAGUCGACACUGCAAUUGCAUGUACAGCAGAUGCUGCUGUUGGAAGGCCAACAAUGGCAGCCGUGGUGGCACAGCUGAAGGAGAGCAUUGCAUUGGAAGAAGCCCGUGUGGACAGCGCUGUCAGGGUAAGCCCGGUGAGUGAUACCGUGGCCUUAGUGUCCACAUUUAUCCCAUCGGCAAGGUGA